AUACAGGAAGAAACGUACCCUCGUGAGGGUGCCUGACGGUACUGUAGGAAUAAGCACCGGCUAACUCCGUGCCAGCAGCCGCGGUAAUACGGAGGGUGCGAGCGUUAUCCGGAUUUAUUGGGUUAAAGGUCCGUAGGCGGAUUAAUAAGUCAGUGGUGAAAUCCCAUCGCUUAACGAUGGAACUGCCAUUGAUACUGUUAGUCUUGAAUGAGGGUGCAGUGGUUGGAAUGUGUAGUGUAGCGGUGAAAAUGCAUAGAUAUUACACAGAACACCGAUUGCGAAGGCAGAUCACUAACCCUAAAUUGACGCUGAGGGACGAAAGCGUGGGGAGCGAACAGGAUUAGAUACCCUGGUAG
RNAcentral lists this ribosomal RNA (356 nucleotides) under uncultured bacterium. Its description in RNAcentral is "bacterial SSU rRNA". It matches the Rfam family "Bacterial small subunit ribosomal RNA", at positions 438 to 793 of the family's 1533-position model. The record is from RNAcentral.